This 497-nucleotide ribosomal RNA is filed under the name uncultured bacterium. RNAcentral describes it as "partial 16S ribosomal RNA". It matches the Rfam family "Bacterial small subunit ribosomal RNA", at positions 28 to 507 of the family's 1533-position model. The record is from RNAcentral.
GAUGAACGCUGGCGGCGUGCCUAAUACAUGCAAGUCGAGCGAACAGAUAAGGAGCUUGCUCCUUUGACGUUAGCGGCGGACAGGUGAGUAACACGUGGGUAACCUACCUAUAAGACUGGGAUAACUUCGGGAAACCGGAGCUAAUACCGGAUAACAUUUGGAACCGCAUGGUUCUAAAGUGAAAGAUGGUUUUGCUAUCACUUAUAGAUGGACCCGCGCCGUAUUAGCUAGUUGGUAAGGUAACGGCUUACCAAGGCAACGAUACGUAGCCGACCUGAGAGGGUGAUCGGCCACACUGGAACUGAGACACGGUCCAGACUCCUACGGGAGGCAGCAGUAGGGAAUCUUCCGCAAUGGGCGAAAGCCUGACGGAGCAACGCCGCGUGAGUGAUGAAGGGUUUCGGCUCGUAAAACUCUGUUAUUAGGGAAGAACAAAUGUGUAAGUAACUGUGCACGUCUUGACGGUACCUAAUCAGAAAGCCACGGCUAACUACGUG